Long non-coding RNA from Chelonia mydas (Green sea turtle), 1011 nucleotides. RefSeq lists it as uncharacterized. Lineage: Eukaryota; Metazoa; Chordata; Testudines; Cheloniidae. The record is from RefSeq and is a predicted model, not a curated record. The transcript is spliced from 2 exons.
UCAUUACCUGGCAUUGACCACUGUCAGUAGACAGGAUACUGGGCUGGAUGGACCUUUGGUCUGACCCGGUGUGGGAAUUCUUAUAUUCUUACGACGAUUCCUCAUGUCCGUGCUGGAACUUGUUUAGUAGUUGAAUUUUGUAAUGCUGGUUCCUUAAUCACUUUCCAGUACAAGUGUUACAUUGUUAUCUGUCUGUCUUCUUUUCUUUUGAGUGCUUCAGAACUGCAUGUUCUGGAUAUAGUAAUAGGGAAAGUAUAUAUAAAAGCUCCUUUGCUUACUAUAUGCAUGAUUGACUAGCUGAUAGCAUCAGUGUGAAUGCAGAGCUUAUAAAAAGUCUGGAUUUGACCAGCCCUUUUCCUUGUUGUACAACUCCUAAACAGCUCCUUGGAGAGGAAACAGAAUUCCUUCUAAAACCUGCAGUGUGGAGUGUGAUUGUUAAGUGUAGCUUUGAAAACCACUUGUUUCCUAUGGCAACAUUACUUUGCUUUCCCUUUAUUUUUUGAAUUUUGUCUUUCUUUAGACAAGUAAAACACCCUUGUUUCCACCCUUGUUUUCAGGCCAGUUUCAUUGUAGGCUCUCAUGCACUAGCAUGUGGCUGCAAUUUUUGGGAUGCAAAUAUGAGAGCUUUUUGAGGUAGAAGAGUGGAGAAGAAACUUUUCUGUUGGUCCUUGUUUUUUUUGCAAAAAUCUUUUUUUACUAAUCCUAAACUUGGGGUCAGAUUUGCUCUGAUAGUGCCCCUUUAAAUAUUUCAUGUUGUGUCUUUAAGACCUCACUUACUGAAUCUCGGUAUCUCUCCUUGUGUUGUGGUGUUGUUUUGCUUGACAUCUUGGUACUAAUGUGUCCUUUUAAAAAAAAAAAAAAAAAAAAAAAAAAAAAAAAAAGUGCUCCUUGGAGAGUUCAUUUAAUAAAGAUAGCAAAAACCUGUAGAGCACUUAAGGUUUGCUUGCAAAUGUUUUGUUGCAGCGUUUAUGGCUAUUGUAGCAGUAGGGGAAUUGUUAGAAAACUAACUGU